RNAcentral lists this microRNA precursor (96 nucleotides) under Schistosoma japonicum. RNAcentral describes it as "microRNA sja-mir-3502 precursor". The record is from miRBase by way of RNAcentral. Lineage: Eukaryota; Metazoa; Platyhelminthes; Trematoda; Strigeidida; Schistosomatidae.
CCUUAUCGAUUUCAUGGGGCGGCGUAUCCAUACGUGAUCUCUAGCUGUAUAUACUGGUCCUUGCAAGUGACGAUCGUACAUGUCUUGUUGAUGAGC